GUGCUCGCUUCGGCAGCACAUAUGCUAAAAUUGGAAGGAUACAGAGAUUAGCCUGGCCCCUGCGCAAGGAUGAUACACAAAUUCGUGAAGCGUCCCAUAUUUUU
This 104-nucleotide small nuclear RNA is filed under the name Sorex araneus (European shrew). Lineage: Eukaryota; Metazoa; Chordata; Mammalia; Eulipotyphla; Soricidae. The record is from RNAcentral.